Molecule: unclassified non-coding RNA, 3829 nt
Filed under: Schistocerca americana (American grasshopper)
Lineage: Eukaryota; Metazoa; Arthropoda; Insecta; Orthoptera; Acrididae
Description: vascular endothelial growth factor receptor 3, transcript variant X5
Source: RNAcentral
UCUUUGGCGCAGAGUGGUGGGGACACUUAAAAGACCGAAUGAGACGUAAGCAUGCAUUCCACGGGGAAAUUUGAAUAGGAGUGGACGCUGUGACCAGCCUGUGAAAUGGCCUUGUCAAAGCUUUUGCUGGCUGCCGUCGUAGUGACUGUUAUCGCUAUAGUCACAUGUGUCGCUGUUGCUACCACCAUACCUAACGUCACAGAGCUAUCUGAUGCCUCUCAUAGAAGCAGCGAGUCUCCUGUAAUAACGUCUACAAAUCUCUCAGAAAUUGUAGUAAACCCUGGUGAAAAUUAUACUAUAACAUGCAAGGGUGAUACUCCUGUAAUCUGGACCUACCCCAACAUUUCGGACAGUGAACCCAACAUACAUUCAACUUUGAGGAAAGGCAAAUAUAUAUCAUCAAUUCAGCUGACAGAUGUUACAUACAAGGCUGUUGGAUAUUACCAUUGUUUGUUUGAUAAUAACAGUGAGAAAAAUACAUCUAUAUACUUGUAUGUGAAAGAUACAAAGAACCUGCUUACAUAUAGUGACGAAUUCUUUGCACCAAUUCAUGGUAUGCAGUAUCAGGACAUUGUCAUUCCUUGUAAGCCAACACACCCUGAAGUGAAAGUGACGCUCUGCCAUGAUGGUGAUGAAAAAGUUCAUGUUGGUGAAAAUGAUGACCUUGGUGUCAUCAGAUAUGACCAGAAGGUGGGCUUCAUUGUGGAAAAUGCCCAGGUGAUGCACAAUGGAUUCUAUAGUUGCUGCUUACUUCCUGGUGGCAUCUGCAGUGAAGACGAAUGUCCUCGUACAUAUGCUCUUGAAGUGUUAAAACAUGCAGAUUCUGUAGCAAGACCAGCCAUUGAUGAGACCCAUUUGCAACACGUGAAAGUUGGUGAGAAUGUGACUAUAGAGUGUAGAAUUACUGUACCCACUUCAACAAGGUAUGAUUUGGAAUGGAUAGUUCCAAAUGAGAGUGAACGUAUCACAGUAGAAAAAAUAGAGAUAGAGCCUCCAAUGAGCCCUGGGCACCAUUUAACAACAGGAAGAAGAAAAUUAAAAAUAUUUAAUGCAAAAUUGGAAGACACAGGGAACUACACUUGUAAAGUGAAAGAUCAUGCAAAAAAUAUCAACAGUGAAACGAUAUAUUUGAAAAUUUUUAAAAGGAAUGAGGCUUACAUAAACUUGACAGUAAAUGGGAACAAAACUAAUAUGGAAGUUGUUGAAGGACAGAACUUGAAGUGGGUCAUCAGUGUUGAAGCACAUCCACAGCCUGAGUUUUCGUGGUACAAGAAUGAUGAUGUAAUCAACAAUUCAUCUAGAAUGAUUGUUUCAACCAAAUCUAAUGGGAAACAGUCUAUACUGGAAAUAAAACGGGUUACUAUUGAAGAUAGAGGUACUUACGAAAUGCGUGCAACAAAUGAAAAUUUCACCAAAGAACUGACACUGAAACUUAUUGUGCUUGGAAAACCUCAUGUCUACAUGCCACAAUAUCCAGUGAAAUUUUUGUAUAAACCAUCUCAGAAAGCAAGUGCCAAAGUAAAUGCCACUAUUCUUGGAAGGCCAAGCCCAAAUGUGACUUGGUUUUUUCAGCCAGAGGGUAAGGAGAGAAUGGCCAUCAAUAAUGAAAAUUUCAAAAAUUAUAUUGUCAGUGAAGAGGAUGAAGAGGAUGGAUAUGAAACAAUUUCAGAACUGCAGCUGAAUGCUACAGUGUCUGGAACAGUGGAAUGCAUUGCUGCUAAUAAGUAUGGAAGUGACACAGAGAAAACACAGAUCAUCAUCACUGAUGUAGCAGAUGGUUUUGGAAUAUUACCAGUGCAGGAAGAAAUUGUAGAAGGAGACACUGUCAUUCUUACAUGCCGAGCAUCACAUCGUAAUUUCACUAAUAACAUGAAAUGGUAUAGAAAUGGAGAUGAAGUUGAUGGAUACAGCGAUACCAAACGUAUUUCAAUACGGCAAGGAGAAACAGUUUAUUCAUUUCAGUCGGAGUUGAUAAUUGCAAAUGCAUCGGAGUCUGAUGAAGCUGAAUAUAAAUGUGUUGCCUGUACACCCAGUCCAAGCAAUUGCUCAGAUGCAGUUUCCACUUUCAAAGUGGCAGCUAUGAAAAGCCCGCAGUUCAGCAAGGACACAAACAUGAAUGGCGGUGAACAUCUCUUAGACAACCUGUCUCGGUACAGCCUUAAUUGCAGGCCAAGUGGAGUUCCAAAACCUCAAAUUGUCUGGAUGAAGGAUGGAAAGCCACUUCCUGUGAAGCCAAAUGACACAUCAAUAGAAUUUAUGCAUAACCAUACUACUCUUGUAAUUAAACAGUUCACAGCAGAACAUGCAGGGUUAUACACAUGUACUGCCAUAAAUCCCAGAAAUAAAAAUGACCGGAAAUCAGUAACAGCUACAUUGAAAUUCAAAGAUGAAGGUGGUACGGUAAUAAGUAUUGUUGUUGCUGUAGCUCUAGUUGUCAUAUUUAUUCUCGCUGCUGUACUUGCUGUAAAAAUGCUAAGAGACAGAAAAAAUCGCAAAGAACAGAGGAUUGCUGGUCUUAUGCAUUUUACAGAAGGGGCAAUAAGUAACAUGAAUCCAGACCUUCCUGUUGAUGAACAGGCUGAACUACUUCCAUAUGACAAGAAGUGGGAGUUCCCCCGAGAAAAGUUAAGACUCGGCAAACAGCUCGGUUCGGGAGCUUUUGGUGUUGUUAUGAAGGCAGAAGCAUUUGGCAUCUUGGAAGAAGAACCUGUCACAACAGUAGCAGUUAAAAUGGUGAAAAGAAACACUGACUAUACGUACAUCAAAGCAUUAGCAUCAGAACUCAAAAUAAUGGUACAUCUAGGAAAGCAUCUGAAUGUUGUAAACUUGCUUGGAGCAUGCACAACAAACAUAACGAAGAAGGAACUGUUGGUUAUAGUGGAAUACUGCCGAUUUGGAAAUCUGCACAACUACCUUUUACGUCAUCGUGAUGAAUUUAUUGACCAGAUAGAUCCAAAAACAGGAACGGUAGAUCCAACUAUUGGGCAAGAGAUACUGGAAAGAGCUGACUCAUUUAAUAAAAAGAACAGGGUGAAGUAUGCAGCACUUUCCUUCACAAACAGUCUCUCUGGAGGGGACAUAGCUGUCGAUUAUCGAGCAGCAGGUGCUAUGGUACCAUCUUCAAACAGCAGUGGCAGUGAAGCUGAUCAUGUGUCCAUGCUUCCAGCUGGUGAAGAUGAUUAUGUGAUGAGCAACAACAGCAUACAACCAGAAUGGAGAUCCAAUUACAGAGGAGAUUACAAAGGCAAUGUUCGUCCAAUAUGUACCUGUGACCUACUGUGUUGGGCAUUCCAGGUAGCUAAAGGAAUGGAAUAUCUUGCUUCUCGGAAGGUUCUUCAUGGAGAUCUGGCUGCAAGGAACAUUUUACUUGCUGAUGAAAAUGUAGUGAAGAUCUGUGAUUUUGGUCUAGCGAAGAGCAUGUACAAAUCAAACAACUAUAAGAAGAAAGGAGAUGGCCCAUUACCUGUUAAGUGGAUGGCCAUUGAAUCGAUCAGAGACAGGAUAUUCUCAACACAAUCUGAUGUCUGGUCAUAUGGAAUUGUGCUCUGGGAGUUUUUUUCUUUGGCAAGGACACCAUACCCAGCCACCAAACAAUGCUGGAUUGUUGGCAUUUAAAUCCAAACAAAAGACCUUCGUUUACGGAACUAAGUGAAAGAAUUGGGAAUAUGCUCGAAGAUAGUGUGAAGAAACACUACAUUGAUUUGAAUGAUCCAUAUAUAGACAUGAAUUCAGAAUGGAUGCAGAACACACAAAGUGAUUAUCUGAGUAUGAUGAGUGCUCCUACAUAUGGCAAUCUAGUAUCACCAAUUGAAGAUAAUGAUUACAUCAA